Lolium rigidum is the source of this 299-nucleotide long non-coding RNA. RefSeq lists it as uncharacterized. Lineage: Eukaryota; Viridiplantae; Streptophyta; Magnoliopsida; Poales; Poaceae. The transcript is spliced from 4 exons. The record is from RefSeq and is a predicted model, not a curated record.
GAUGAACAGGAAGAUCGCCUCCUAGAAGUCCCUCUCCGUCAUCCUCUUACGCGAGCCUACCAAGGCUGUCCUCAACGAGCACGAAUCUUCCCACAAGGAUCCUCUCACGGUGUAAAGCAGGUCCCCUCAACCAUGAAUCCAUGAGUCAGUCCAAGGUCGGGAGAGUCGGUGCUCAUCACCCAGAUUCCUUUGCUUGUUAUAUAGUAUGAGCCACCAAGGUUUGCAAAGAGGAGUUGGGAUUCCCAAGAAACCUUGACGGUUUGAGGGCCAGCCACGCCAUGGCAGAAACUAGAGCUCAG